Molecule: transfer RNA, 73 nt
Filed under: Stegodyphus mimosarum
Lineage: Eukaryota; Metazoa; Arthropoda; Arachnida; Araneae; Eresidae
Rfam family: tRNA
About the family: Transfer RNA (tRNA) molecules are approximately 80 nucleotides in length.
Source: Rfam by way of RNAcentral
GCCUUCUUGGUGUAGUGGUCAGCACGCUUGACGCGUAUUCGAGAGGUCCGUGGUUCGAGUCCCGGCGAAGACA